This 86-nucleotide transfer RNA is filed under the name Paracoccaceae bacterium. RNAcentral's name for it is "Rhodobacteraceae bacterium tRNA-Leu". It matches the Rfam family "tRNA". From Rfam's summary of the family: Transfer RNA (tRNA) molecules are approximately 80 nucleotides in length. The record is from RNAcentral. Lineage: Bacteria; Pseudomonadati; Pseudomonadota; Alphaproteobacteria; Rhodobacterales; Paracoccaceae.
GCCCGAGUGGCGGAAUUGGUAGACGCAGGGGACUCAAAAUCCCCCGAUCUUUGAUCUUGUGAGUUCGAGUCUCACCUCGGGUACCA